RNAcentral lists this transfer RNA (143 nucleotides) under Copromyces sp. CBS 386.78. Its description in RNAcentral is "tRNA-Glu". It matches the Rfam family "tRNA". From Rfam's summary of the family: Transfer RNA (tRNA) molecules are approximately 80 nucleotides in length. Their secondary structure includes four short double-helical elements and three loops (D, anti-codon, and T loops). Lineage: Eukaryota; Fungi; Ascomycota; Sordariomycetes; Sordariales; Sordariaceae. The record is from RNAcentral.
GUGCGGUUGGCGCAGUGGUCAGCGCGUUCGCUUCUCAACGCGGAAGGUUCCAGUACCGAAUAUGGGGGGUGGCACCCUCAUUAGACAGUGCUGGAAUCCGCGGUGGCUGCGAAAGGUCCUGGGUUCGACUCCCAGACUGCACA